GUCUAAGGCCAUGCCACCCUGAACAAGCCCGAUCUCGUCUGAUCUCGGAAGCUAAGCAGGGUCGAGCCUGGUUAAUACUUGGAUGGGAGACCAUCUAGGAAGACCAGGUGCUGCAGGCG
Molecule: ribosomal RNA, 119 nt
Filed under: Pteropus alecto (black flying fox)
Lineage: Eukaryota; Metazoa; Chordata; Mammalia; Chiroptera; Pteropodidae
Source: RNAcentral